ACUCCUACGGGAGGCAGCAGUAAGGAAUAUUGGGCAAUGGACGCAAGUCUGACCCAGCCAUCCCGCGUGCAGGACGAAUGCCCUAUGGGUUGUAAACUGCUUUUGUUUGGGAAGAAAUGUAUUCUUUUAAGAGUAUUUGACGGUACCAGACGAAUAAGCACCGGCUAACUCCGUGCCAGCAGCCGCGGUAAUAC
Molecule: ribosomal RNA, 194 nt
Filed under: uncultured bacterium
Lineage: Bacteria
Description: partial 16S ribosomal RNA
Rfam family: Bacterial small subunit ribosomal RNA
Source: RNAcentral